UACGUAGGGGGCAAGCGUUGUCCGGAAUCAUUGGGCGUAAAGAGCGUGUAGGCGGUCCGGUAAGUCGGCUGUGAAAGUCCAGGGCUCAACCCUGGGAUGCCGGUCGAUACUGCCGGACUAGAGUUCGGAAGAGGCAAGUGGAAUUCCCGGUGUAGCGGUGAAAUGCGCAGAUAUCGGGAGGAACACCAAUGGCGAAGGCAGCUUGCUGGGACGGUACUGACGCUGAGACGCGAAAGCGUGGGGAGCAAACAGG
RNAcentral lists this ribosomal RNA (253 nucleotides) under uncultured bacterium. Its description in RNAcentral is "partial 16S ribosomal RNA". It matches the Rfam family "Bacterial small subunit ribosomal RNA", at positions 524 to 776 of the family's 1533-position model. The record is from RNAcentral.